GGGGCGGGGAGCCCAAGAACAGUUCGUAGCCUUUGAACUAAGGCUUGAACCGCCUGCACAGUCUCAUCUUGGCAAGAAUUCUACUAAGUCAGUUAAGUGAGAAUUCCCCCCACGUUUGAUGUCUGACCGCCCUGGGUAUCUAAUCAAGUUCCUCACCCCCCAACGUUGAUGUCCUCGAAGUUGUUGGCCUGCUUCAGCAAGGAUUCUCUUAGACCAGUUUAGCAGGAAUCCCCUGACCCUGAGGUCUCCUCUUAGUAAUUUUCCAUCUACUCACCUCCUCGCUUGGUGCCACGACUGAAUCCCCAGCUGUCUUUACCAUAAUCAGAACUGAUCUCUCUCCCCUAUCAUCAUACCCCUGCUGUAAUAAUGUUGAAUAAAGCCUUCCUUACCACUUAACAAGUGUAAGAAUAAUUAUUUCUUUUUAACACCAGUUAAGGAAAGAUUCACAUUGCCUUAUGAAAUGCCAUACACACUGCACUGUGGUAGAACGUAUUGGGAGUAAGGUGAGCGAAGCCCACAGUAACCAUAAAAGUACUAGUGGACCAGAAAGGAGAGCCUGCCCAGACUUAGGGCAGAGGGUAGUAUGACCUAAAGGGACUAGGACAGGGAUUUAGCUAAGGCUACGGUUGGUAAUUCAUCAUUCUUUCAUGGUGUCCUGUCUCUGAUUUUGACAAGUGGUGACCACAGUUGACCCCAGGGAGAUGAUGAUUUAGCCGGGUUAUCUUGGGAAAGCCACUUAAGCUCUCUUUCUUCUUUCUGAUGCUUACUGGUACAUCUCAUUUUCAUAUUUACCUAUAAACCUGGCAUGCUCUUCUCUGUAGAGAUUACUAAUGGAAUGGCAGUACUAAGUCAUGGCAGUGAUCCUUCUGGCCACUCUCAAUUCUGUUUUCUGCUUAAAUAACAAAAAAUGGAGGGAAAUAAGUUACGUACCAGUGGCCACUUGUUUAAACUCGGGGAAUUAACUUUUCAGUAAAUUCUUGAACACAGAUACCCCGAGGACAUUCUAAGUAGGAAAGCCUUGAGUUGAGAAUGUUGAUAACCAGCCUGGGUGAUUGUCUCAGCCUUUCUCUUUUCCCUUCCUCUCCUGGAAGGGAGAGAAAUCAAGGGGAGGGAAGAGCGUGUCGGGAAGGAGACUGUGUUCUCUGUUCUGCCAGAAGUGAAUUAUUCAUCAUGCUCCUGGUUCUAGCUCGAAUGGGCUUUGUGACAGUACUUUCAAAGUGUACUGACUGUGAUUUCCUUAAACCUGUCCCACAUAUAAUGCUGCACACUGCUUGGGACCGAGAGCCCCAGCUCUGAGCCAGACGCAGUGUCUGGCAUGAUUGGCUUUCAGAAGUGACUGGAAUUUCUUGCUGUGUUGUACGGAGAAGAGCAAGAAUAUGUCAGUAAAAUACAUUCCCUCUCUUAAAGUACUUUAGCAAGGUGCUGCGCGCGUAGUAGCUGCUUGAUGAGCGUUUAGUAAAUAGAUACAAUUCAGAUUCACUCAUUCUCUGGCAAAUUUUGAAGUAUUUCACGAGUCUACUGCGUAGACACGGUAUUUACCUUUUACAUUCUGGUCAUUUUUCAAUGAAUGACGUGUUUUGCAGACAGAUUUCCUUUCACCCCUGGUAUUCCUGUUCAUAACUGAAAGUCAUCAAUUAAAUUUUUAUUGUACUUGAAAAUUUUUAUUCAGAAAAUGAAUAUAUUGACAUUUAAGUUGAUAUGAAUAUUAGCUUAUGUUAGGGGAUAAUUACUGGAUCUUGUUAGAUUUACUAAAUAUAUCAGAACCUGAAGGCCUUAGAAUAAAGCUUUGACUGCUAGAGUGUUAAAUCAAAUCAAAUCUAAAGAUUUAAAGAACAAACAUCCAUUGUAAUUUCUGGCACAAGUUUGCUGUUAGGUUUUUGUACUCGUGGGAGUGAAAGAACUAGGAAGUUUCUGAAAGAAUUUAAUACCGUAUUUUUAGAUAUAAUUUAAGCAGAUGUUUUCUUUUAUCCCCAGGGGACUCAGUCGUGUUGGCUCAUAAUAUCUUCUCGCAAGCCGUAGUGAAAGACCUCCCAAAGGAGUUUUUUGGGGGCAGGGGAGUAUCUUAGGAAGGAGUGCCUCUAGAAAUAAAAUGCGGGCUCAGCCACCCUCUGUCUGCCCCCUGAAGGGGAGUGAUUGCCCUUUGUAAUACCCCAAUUCAGAUGUAAAGCGGUGUAACUUCUUGGUUAAGGGCACAUGCUCUGAAGUCAGACUUGGUGGGUUCAGAUCCCAGCUCUGCCACUUAUUAGCUCUAUGACCUUGGGAAGCCACUUAUUUUCUUUAUUGUUCUGGCUCUUUAUCUGUAAAAUGUAAUAACAGCAGUGACUGCUUUUGAGGUUGUCGUGAGGUUUAGACGACUGAAUACAUCUAAUGCCCUCAGAACAAUGCCUGGCACCUAGUGGAAGGCACCUGUGUUAACUGCUCCUGCCGUUGUGGUGGUGGUGGUGGUGGCACAUUUAGAUAAAGGAGGUAAAUAUGCCAGGGUUUUAAGUGUUUACCUCAGAGCUACUGGAUUAUACAUGAUUUUCAUUUCUUUUAAUGCCUGUAUUUUAAGUCAUGGGUUUAUAUUCCUUUUUAUACCCAAAAUUAUGAAUUUAUAAUGUGAAGUAUAACUUUAUGGUUUACUAGAAUACUUGUAUUAAGUUUAAGAAAGCCAAGUGGGAAGCCGGAUUACCUGCAGGUGGGUUGGUGAACAAGGUAUUGGCAGGGUACAGAGGAUAGUUGUGUAGUGACAUCAAUGUUCUCAGUGGGUACAGACAUACCUGUAGGGUUGUGUAAUGCUUAAGAGCACCGACUUGUAGACAGGACUCCCAGGGGUUGAUUUCUUCCCAGCUUAGUCAUUGAUAAGGUGUAUAACAUUAGGCAGGUUUCCUUAUCUCUAAAAUGAGAAUAAUACAUACUUGGUUGGGUGGAUUGUUGGUUUUCAGUUAUUAGGUGUAUAUUACAAACUUUGCAAUAGCAGGUGUUCAGUGACGGUACCAAAGAAACAAAGAAUUCAAACAAACGCGUUGAGGAAGUUCACAUUGCUCAUCGAGAUACAUUUCUUCUCUUUCCCCAUGGUAAAGAAAUGCGCAACUCAACUCAUGUUCUUUGGGGUUCCCUUUUUCCCAUGCUCACCAUUUUCUUCAUGUCAAUACAUCCAUUCUUUAGGCCAAAUACAAAUAUAGUUGGAUUGAUUACUGCUUUAAACAUGCUAAUGGAAUCUCUCUCUCGAGACUGCAUUGAUUUUAUUGAACCCAAAUAUAAAGACAAGUCUUAAAUCAGACAUUUGCAUGUUGAAGAUAAGUUUGAUGUCCUUGUGUAUGCUGGAAUAUAGUCUCUUCUUUUGUCUUUUCUGAAUCGGAGUGCUUAUAUUUUUUGCCUCUAGAAGUUACAGAAAAAGCUUGAUAAGCAAGGUUUUGGUGGAGUUAUGAAAAGUUCUUCUAAUUUUAUUUGGGUGCUGCUUUGGAGUCUGAUAUUACGAGGCUGAAAUCCAUAGUGCCAUCAGUCAGGAAGGAGCGACGAAUGUGAUGGGAGAGAACGGGACACAGUGGAGUCGAUGAGGACAAAAGGGAACUCGUUUCUCUCUCUCACUGCUUUCCAAGCUCUAAGAGGGUGACCGGCAGGCUGAGCUGAUGGCCUUCAUCACAGGGCUGCUUGAGCACCUGGACCGGGAUUCACAGCAGCCAAAGCAGGUGCUCCAGCAGGAGUUGGAGAGCUUCGAAGCCCGACGACUGCUCCCUGCUCGCAAGACGUGCCAACAGAUCAUCUAAACCAGGCGUGAGCUGCAGCUGUGUCUGGUGCAGCGCUGACCUUCAGAGCGUAUAAAUGACCAUUGUUUUAGUUCUGCCUUCCAGAUCUUCGGCAAGUUUCUUGUGUCCAGUAUUACCCAGGACCAUAGAGGGAAGAGACUUUGGGGCAAUAGAAUUCCAGCUUGGCUAAAUUUACAUUCUAGACACCAUCACAGCCCACCUCAUGGCACCUCGGCCAUCCCUCAGAAGUAUGGGGUUUGGCCACACUUCUCUUAGCCAUACCUUCUGAAUGAAGGUAAUAGCAAAAUUAUGCUUUUGCCUGAUAUGACGCAACUAUUCUAGGCAUAUGAAAAACACGCUAACCCUCUCCUCGAAAGAAGAUACGAAGUCCCUUUAGCCAUCUUUGGGUGAUGUUCGUUUCUCUUCUGAGUCCCACUCUUGUUCUUGUACCUUGUAACCUCAGUAUUGAAAUACAGAGUUAGCUAAUUUUAACACUUCAAUGUUGGGUGAUAGGCAAAUGGGGAAAGGGAAUAGAAAGAAAGAAAGAAUUGGUUAAUUUAUACACAAAUAUGUUCAUACCAAAAUAAGAGAGACUUAUUGCAAUCCUUAUUUCUGCAACUGGUCACGUGGUCACAGAUGGUGUUUAUAAUUACCUUCUUCUACUAAUUCCGUGUUGUAUUUGUGCUCAACAAAUGCCUCAGCUGCUUAUAAUUCCUUGCCUGGGGAGGUACCCCAGACUUGAUUCCUGAAAAGUCUGGGCCGUCAGAAAUCAUGCCUCCAUUGGGUUAUCGUAAUUUUCCACUGACUUGUCUCAGGACAAGGGAGAAAUAAGAGGUGCCCUAGAGGAUCUCGUGCAUUUAAACAUACUCUUCCCUAAGCCGUUAUGCAAUAGCAACCCAAUUUCCCCUUUAUAGUCAGGAUCAGUCACCUCAGCCGGUAUAAUAACCCUCUUCUUGGUCUACUUAUUCACUGCCAUGAAGCAGUCUCAACUUGCAACGUAAUGGACCAUUGCUGUGAUCCCUGGUGGAAGCAUUCCUCCCUUAGGUACUAAGAUAUCUAUGCUAGCAGAACAUAAAGUUGUAGGGGCUAGAAAGAAAAAAAUUUUCUGAUGGGUCAUUAAGAGUGAUAGCGAGAGGAGAUAUUCCAAUUUCUAUCUCUUGAUUCCUAGACCUAUGAAUCCUGGCUAUGGGAGAAAUAGCCCUAUGUAUUGGUCCCUGACUCAGAGUACACGUUGUGUCCUGGAAGAUGUUACCCCAGCCCUGCAAGGAGUUGUCACCCAGCUGGCAUCAUAACAGUCUUUGAAAGGCCUUUUCACUGGUUCUCAAGCCAGCUGCUUCAGGGUAUUGUGCAUAUGAUAAGAACAGUACAUUCUCCCAGCAUGAACCCAUUGCCGUGCUUCGUUUGCCAUAACAUUAGUUCCUUGCUUAGAAGCAAUGCUGUGUGGAAUAUCAUGGUGGUGAACUAUGUAUACUGUAAGUCUCCCCGUGGUGGUUUUGCCAUAAGUAUUAGGAUUAGGGAAGGCAUCUUCAUAUCUGCAGCAAGUGUUUAUUCCAGUGAGAUUAAAACACUGCCCCUUCUGUGCUGAAAGUAGUCUAAUUCAAUCAACCUGCCACCAGGUAACUGGCUGACCUCACCCCUUCCUCCUGGCACUUGUCAUUUGGGGAGCUCAGUCUUACUCUCUGCAGUUGGCAGAUUAGCCUUGGUGAGUGUUAGUCCAUGUUGCUAGGCAGAUGAGUGGCUGGAGCACGGCUGAUAACUUUAGCAUGAGUCAUCUUCGGCGAGCAUUCACUUGGGACACAUCUAUGUCCACAUGCUGUACUCAUUCAGGGAGACCUAUCCCAUACUUCUUCCUCACCAUUAAUUUUCAAAUCUUGUUCCUUCUGAGUCCUUGAUCAUUCAUCCAAGACGCUAGCGCUAGUCUGUCAGUCUCUGUAGAUCCAGACUUUUACACUCUCUUUGUAAGUGAAAUAAACAACUGGGUGCACUGCUUAAAGUCCCCCUCCCCCCCCCCCCCCCCCCCCCCGCUUUAACCUUGCCAGUUUAACUUUGCCACGUCCCUUCAGUGCCACCCAGAGUGCAGCUGCAGGGCAGCAGUGGUCGAGCCCUGAGCCGUCCUAGCAUAUUGUGCAGAACCAGCUGUAAACUAGGCUUGAACGCUUUUAUUUCUCUUAUCAGCUGGUCUCCCCAGGAGUCCACGGACGUGGAUUUAGACGAAAUAAGCACUGUAGCAAGAGUGUGGCUCAAGGGGCAUCUCUGCCACUUGCGUGUGCAACUGGUUUGUGCCUUCAGGACUUGCUCAAGUCCUGUCUGACAUGUGCCACUCCCACUGGUUGGUGGAACGUUGCUGUGGGAGCCCAGAUGUUUUGGGAUUGAUGAAUCAAACAGCACCCCAGUGAUAACGGCAAGCUCACAUCGAAUGGCAACUUGGUGGUCUGUGGUCACCUGUUCAGUCUCUUGUGCCUCCCGAUGGCAAGCCAGAAGGUGUCCCCUCAAAGAGAAUAGUUAUCUGCAGAGGGUGGCGUAGCUUUGCUCCCAAAUGUUCAAAGUUCACCCUGUGAUUCGCGUGUUAGGGCCCAAUGAAGGCUUGGUGCUUGAUUUCUCCGUGCCAGAGUCUGCAAGCCCCAGUGAGGCUUCUGGGUUCCAGUAGUAGACUAGCUUGAUGACAGCCCGAGACUUAUUACAGAGUCCUGUUUUUCUGGCCCCUAUUAAAAAUUGGCCAGCUUUCAGGUUACCUAUACUGGUAUAAUGAAAUAUAUUUUACUUUCAAAAUUCACACGUAUGGUGUCUCCUUUUUAAGGGUAGGAGGGACCAGAUGCAGCAAUUUAUUCUUGACUCUGGAAGCGAUAUCCCAACAUAUCCCAGACCAUUAGAUUCCCAGGAAUUUCACUGAGGAAGCAGGCCCCUGAAUUUCUGUGGGAUUUAUUGCCUACCCUUGGUCACACAUGUAUCUUAGUCAAGGUAUCUAGAGUAGUUGUUACUGCCUGCUUACCUGAUCUAAUCAGCAUAAUAUCAUCAAAAUAAUAGACCCGUGUGAUUUCCUGUGGAAGGAAAGGUGAUUAAGGUCCCUGUGGACUGGAUUAGUGGUUCUCAACUGAGGGCAGUUUUGUCUCCCAGAGGACAUUUGGCAAUGUCUGGAGACAUUUUUGGUAUCACAAGUCGGGGGCAGGCAUCUGGUAGUAGAGGCGUGGGAUGCUGAUAAACAUCCCCUGAUGCCCAGAACGGUCCCCUACAGCAAGGGAUUAUCUGGCCCCAAAUGUCUGUGGUGCUGAGAUUGAGAAACCCUGGGCCACAUUAUGGCAUAGGCUGGAGGUUUGAAGUGCCCCGUGGUAGCAUAGUGAAGAAGCCACAGUCUGUUCUAAUGUUCUUUACUAGCAUGCAUAGAGAAAAACCAGGGGUUUCAUUGAUAUGAUCCAGCGAGGAAGCCACAUCUAGAGUAGCAGUUGUAAUUGGAAUUACCAACUGCUUUGAGUUUUGAUAAUUUCCUGUCAUUCCCUGAGAUUUAUCUGUCUUUUGCACAGGCCAAAGAGAUGAGUUGAAUGGAGAUGUGGGAAUUAGCAUCACUGCAUCUUUAUGGUGGCACUAAUCCCUGGGCCCCUCCAGGAGGCAGUAUUGCUUUUGGUUUACUAUUUUGCUAAGAUCAUGUAGUUCUGGUCUCUUUCUCCCACCCAAUCCCGGCAUUUUAGCCCUUAUAGUCAUUCAUGGACUAGGGAACCAGAGUGUAGGUUUGGCAAAUGCCAAGUGUGUAAAUUUCAACUGUGUAUUCCAGAACUGGGAAGGUAAGCACAGGAAGCAUUUGGGCACUUACUGGUUCCACUGUGAAAUGGGCCCAGUCCAAAAGUUCAAUGAACAUCUGAUUUCUUUAUGCUCCUGCUCUGAUUGGUUUAUCAUAGUAGAGUUUGGGUCUUGAGGAAUUACUGUUAGUUUGGAGACAGUUUGGAUUUUUUCCCCACGUCCUUCAAUGCGUAGUCACCCUAGUAAAUUGCCACAGUUCUCUUUUGAGGAGAGUUGGGAGGAAGAUUUACAGAAUGCGUUUUGGGGUGAAUAGGAUUGUGUUUCCUCAAAGACCCAGCCUUCCUUUCAUUCAAGGGUCUCUGGGUCUUUGAACUAACUCACGUCUGGGAAUUGUUUGAGGGACAAUGGCUGUAUUUUGGUUUGAGUCACAGUGAGAGCUACAAAAGCACCUGACCUAGACCCAGAUCAUAACAUUUUUACUUUCUAAGUCUUGCACAAAUUUCACAUGGCCAGUAACUCAGAACCAUGUUGAGAAGGGAAUUUCGGGAAAACACUGCAUCUUAGCUAAGCCGACACCAAGCCACCACAGUUGUGUUGAGCACAAAGAUGUUGUUAUUGUUCACGAUGACCGUGGGUAAUUGGACUUUCCAAAGUGAUCUGUGUUGCUUAUAUAUACUCAUAUCAAUUCCUGCUUCAGUUUAUUACUCAUUUGGAACAGCUGAGAUCAGGGCCACUAAGUGUGACUGUCUACCAGUCCAGGAGCACCAUUCCCAUGGAUUGGAACGUAUCAGGUGUGCUUCGGAGUUGCACAACACAGCGGCCUUGCCAGGGUUAACAUGUGACUCAGUGUGUGACUGACACACGGCGAGGGUAUCUCUGGUUUCUGCUGGUUUGAGUUCUUUCCGAGCAGAAUGUUAACUGGUGAUUUAGAAAGUUGCAGCUUUUAGGGCACCUGAAUGGCUCAGUUGAUUAAGCGUCCGACUCUUGAUCUCAGCUCAGGUCUUGAUCUCAAGGUCAUAGUCAGGUCAAGGUCUACGCUGGGCUCCACACUGGGCAUGAAGCCUACUUAAAAAAAAAAAGUUUGCAGCCUUUGAUAACUACUCUCUCAAGGAAGUGAUAUUGUACAAUUUGUUUAGAUAGCACAUGGGAGAUUUUUUUCUCUAAAUAUUUGGACGGUGUUCAGUACAGUAACUUUGGCAAAUAAAAUGAUUCUGAACAUAGUCUCCCCCCGUCCUAAAAAAUGGCUAAAAAUCUAUAUAUUUUAUUACAUGAAUAUUUAGAACAACUGGCUGUAUAUAUUUAAUAUUGAACUUCAUGGUGUGGUUCACUCUCCUUAGUAUGUAAGCAUGUAAUGGUCACAUGAAAAUCAGACCUCUAAGUUACAGUUAAGUAAAACAUUGGCGAGUAGUUGUUUCAAAUUGAGGUAACUUUGACAUACAGAGAAAUGCACAGAUUGUUUGAGUACAGUUAAGUGAGUUUUGAUCAAAGUAUAUAUCACCCCCAAUUGAGAUAAAGAACCUUUACAUAAUAUCCCAGAACUCACUUCUGCCAUCUUUGUAGAGAGUUAAUAAAUGCAAAAAAAAAAAACAAAAAAAAAAAAA
Long non-coding RNA from Felis catus (domestic cat), 9061 nucleotides. RefSeq lists it as uncharacterized. NCBI's taxonomy places the organism in Eukaryota, Metazoa, Chordata, Mammalia, Carnivora, Felidae. The transcript is spliced from 2 exons. The record is from RefSeq and is a predicted model, not a curated record.